AGGACGAACGCUGGCGGCGUGCUUAACACAUGCAAGUGGAGCGACGAACCAGGGCUUGCCCUGGGGCAGAGCCGCGAACGGGUGAGUAACACGUGGGUUACCUGCCUCGAUGACCGGGACAACCCGAGGAAACUCGGGCUAAUACCGGAUGUGCCCGCAAGGGGAAAGGAAGCUUCGGCCUCCGCAUCGAGAUGGGCCCGCGGCCCAUUAGCUUGUUGGUGAGGUAACGGCUCACCAAGGCUUCGAUGGGUAGCUGGUCUGAGAGGACGAUCAGCCACACUGGGACUGAGACACGGCCCAGACUCCUACGGGAGGCAGCAGUGGGGAAUCUUGCGCAAUGCGCGAAAGCGUGACGCAGCAACGCCGCGUGGGGGAAGAAGGCUUUCGGGUUGUAAACCCCUUUCAGUUGGGACGAAGCUUCGUCGGUGAAUAGCCGGCCGGAGUGACGGUACCUUCACAAGAAGCACCGGCUAACUACGUGCCAGCAGCCGCGGU
RNAcentral lists this ribosomal RNA (495 nucleotides) under uncultured bacterium. RNAcentral's name for it is "SSU rRNA". It matches the Rfam family "Bacterial small subunit ribosomal RNA", at positions 26 to 521 of the family's 1533-position model. The record is from RNAcentral.